GGAAGACUGCAGGCUCCAGGAGAACCUGCCACCCAGCAGGAAUGACCUGUGCCUGGGAGAUCCCUGGCCAUGGCUCCCUUCAUGGGAGGAGCCAUGACUGCAUUCCCAAUGGACUGUGCCUUCCUCACAAACCUCAGCGAGAGAUCCAGUGAAUUCAGUGGAGAUACUUCUGACUCACAACAGCAUCCAGGCACCUACUGACAGAGAAUACUAGAGAAGAGACGACAGGAAUUAAACCAAUCCAAAUCUGACAACUAGGAAGAUUGGACAGAACAAAGUGACCACCAAAAGCGGGACUUUGUGGGCCAGUUGGAUAAAACAUAAGCUCAUCUCGCCCCCAAAACCCCGACUCU
Molecule: non-coding RNA, 353 nt
Organism: Sturnus vulgaris (Common starling)
Lineage: Eukaryota; Metazoa; Chordata; Aves; Passeriformes; Sturnidae
Source: RefSeq, a predicted model, not a curated record